AGAGAAAAGCUGCAGGGAGCAGAGGCCAAGCGGAAGAGAGACGCAGGAAACAGUCAUGGCCACUCUGAGUGUAAAGCCAGGCCAGAGGUUCACGCUGCCAGACUGGCAUACCAAUUCUGACCUCCUCUCAACCAAUGCUCAGCGCCAACGCUCUGCUUCCCACCAGAUCAGGCAAGAAACCCGGAUCCUUCGCAAUGAAACAAAUAACCAG
Protobothrops mucrosquamatus (brown spotted pit viper) is the source of this 211-nucleotide long non-coding RNA. RefSeq lists it as uncharacterized. The record is from RefSeq and is a predicted model, not a curated record. NCBI's taxonomy places the organism in Eukaryota, Metazoa, Chordata, Lepidosauria, Squamata, Viperidae. The transcript is spliced from 2 exons.